UAGAUUUAAAAGGAGUGAUUUCAUUUUCCUCUGUAUGGAAAAAACGUCUUGGAUCUUAUGGCUCAGUUCAACACAAAAGACGACUCUUUACAGGAUACCUCCUUCCAACAAGAACCUGGUCCAAAGGUCAGUGAUGUAGCCUCUAUUCAGGGUAGGAUUGCUGCUUUGGAGGAGAGUUUGUCAAGGGCUGCAAUCAGAGGCACUGACUAUCCAAAGCCUGACCUUCAGAAAAAAUGGAAAGGAAAAGUACUGUCAUCACCUCCUGAAAAGCAGAGAUACACAGACCUUUCUGGAUCCUCUGUACCCGCUCAUCUUACAAAUGUAGAGAUUAAAUCUGAAGUGCAUGACAGUAAUCACAUUUCCAGAAAGAUGAGUGUCUCUCAUUCUUUAGCCAAGCCAGUGUGUCCUCACAUCAGCAGACUGCCUCUCAUAACAGCUUCUAAAACCGUCCCUGUCCUGAAACCAGAAAACCAGAAGCCAUAUGUGUCAUCUUUUCUAAAUGUAAGCCAGAGCAGUAACAUGUCUUUGGCAGAGGAAAGCAGCGUUACAAAACAGGAAAGCUACAAUGAGAGUGUGGUGAGGCUAAAGACUGUCAGUACUAAACCCUCCAAACUACUUGAAACACCAAAACCUUCCUGUAUCACAAAACCCGAAACCCCAAUUCAAAGUCAGAAGAUAACUGUCCCUCAUAUUCCAACGAAGAAGCUCCUUCCACGUGUGAAUAUUCUGGGAAACCCUCCACUGAAGCCGACCAGACCUGCAACUGUUAACAUUCAGCAAUUCAGAACAUCUUUGAAAGAUGAGCCAGGAGAAAAGAUGCAACAUCAUAGUGCUCCUCCACCUCUAGUGUUCCCACCAUCACCCCAAGCACUGACAAGCCAACAGUUGGAUAAGGAGGAGACCUGUGAUGAUGUUGACAUGAAGUUGCCUCCACUUCCGCAAAAAGGCUACAUGCUGAAGGAGGCAGAGAGUUUUCAAAAAUAUGAGGAAAGUAACAGUGGAAAAGAUUACAUUCUCCAUGGUGAAUUCAUGUCAGAGCUCCGAGGAAUUUUCAACAGAGAGAGGAAGAAAAUAAAGGCUAAGAAUGAGCAAAAAACACAUCUGAAGCAGGAAAAGAAACGACAGAAAUCCAAGGAGAAGAGGGGAAGUAAAACAAAGACCAAGAUUAGAGGAUCUGUUUAUGUUCCCAAAAAAGGGAGGAAACUCCCUUAUUUCAAUGGCGGAAAUCGUGACUCAAAGUCCAAAAAGAAGGAGACAGCUCAUGUAAAGCACAACGACUUAGAGAUGCCACAGCCUCUGUCUGACCACGAAGACUCAGACGAUUAUGAAUACAUUGAUGCACCAGCUAAACUUAGCAGUGGGCUCAACAUGCAAAACUCAUGGGAAGAUUAUGAUGAUGUGGAUAUCCCAGACACAAGUACAAGUCGACAGUUGGCUGUAGAUGCUGACACCAUGAACUUGCCUCCACUUCCCCAUAAAGGUUGUGGUUAA
RNAcentral lists this long non-coding RNA (1491 nucleotides) under Sphaeramia orbicularis (orbiculate cardinalfish). RNAcentral's name for it is "lncRNA (ENSSORG00005003067.1)". The record is from RNAcentral. Lineage: Eukaryota; Metazoa; Chordata; Actinopteri; Kurtiformes; Apogonidae.